RNAcentral lists this ribosomal RNA (452 nucleotides) under uncultured bacterium. RNAcentral's name for it is "bacterial SSU rRNA". It matches the Rfam family "Bacterial small subunit ribosomal RNA", at positions 340 to 786 of the family's 1533-position model. The record is from RNAcentral.
UACGGGAGGCAGCAGUGGGGAAUAUUGCACAAUGGGCGCAAGCCUGAUGCAGCCAUGCCGCGUGUAUGAAAAAGGCCUUCGGGUUGUAAAGUACUUUCAGUCGUGAGGAAGGUGUUAAGGUUAAUAACCUUAGCAAUUGACGUUAGCGACAGAAGAAGCACCGGCUAACUCCGUGCCAGCAGCCGCGGUAAUACGGAGGGUGCGAGCGUUAAUCGGAAUUACUGGGCGUAAAGGGCACGCAGGCGGUUAAUUAAGUUGGAUGUGAAAUCCCCGGGCUUAACCUGGGAAUGGCAUUCAAGACUGGUUAGCUAGAGUCUUGUAGAGGGGGUAGAAUUCCAUGUGUAGCGGUGAAAUGCGUAGAGAUGUGGAGGAAUACCGGUGGCGAAGGCGGCCCCGGACAAAGACUGACGCUCAUGUGCGAAAGCGUGGGGAGCAAACAGGGAUUAGAUACC